RNAcentral lists this ribosomal RNA (254 nucleotides) under uncultured bacterium. Its description in RNAcentral is "partial 16S ribosomal RNA". It matches the Rfam family "Bacterial small subunit ribosomal RNA", at positions 524 to 776 of the family's 1533-position model. The record is from RNAcentral.
UACGUAGGGUGCGAGCGUUGUCCGGAAUUAUUGGGCGUAAAGCGCACGUAGGCGGACUUUUAAGUCAGGGGUGAAAUCCUGGAGCUCAACUCCAGAACUGCCUUUGAUACUGGAAGUCUUGAGUUCGAGAGAGGUGAGUGGAACUGCGAGUGUAGAGGUGAAAUUCGUAGAUAUUCGCAAGAACACCAGUGGCGAAGGCGGACUCACUGGCUCGAUACUGACGCUGAGGUGCGAAAGCGUGGGGAGCAAACAGG